RNAcentral lists this microRNA precursor (114 nucleotides) under Caenorhabditis remanei. RNAcentral's name for it is "microRNA crm-mir-242 precursor". Its record names the gene crm-mir-242. The stretch from base 17 to 93 matches the Rfam family "mir-242 microRNA precursor family". The record is from miRBase by way of RNAcentral. Lineage: Eukaryota; Metazoa; Nematoda; Chromadorea; Rhabditida; Rhabditidae.
UCGAGUACCAACCACGUUAAGAAUAUUGCGUAGGCCUUUGCUUCGAAAGAAACACUUUACUGUUCGCAGCAAUCUCCUCCGCAAUAUUUUUUGAUGAAUUUGGUUAAAAUUGAG